GAAGACCCCAAAUGACAUAGAAGGUCUUGGAGAAGAGUCCAACAGAGACAUAUAUUCACAGACACGUGUACAUCUUUAUGCCCACACAGAAGGGUAACAGCAGCCUUGCUUCAGAGGCCACACCUUCCAGGAAACCCUUCAGCCUGCCGUGUCUUAGCUGAUCCCUCUGCCAUCCCCUUGCAGAAGGAGCUUGGAGUCUCUCAGCUCAGCUGGACUAGAUGAAUCUUCUCAGGGUCGUCUUCUCCCACCUCUGGCUCCCAGUUCCUUCCCCCA
This 273-nucleotide long non-coding RNA is filed under the name Homo sapiens (human). RNAcentral describes it as "non-protein coding lnc-MAFB-1:3". The record is from RNAcentral. Lineage: Eukaryota; Metazoa; Chordata; Mammalia; Primates; Hominidae.